RNAcentral lists this ribosomal RNA (466 nucleotides) under uncultured bacterium. RNAcentral's name for it is "partial 16S ribosomal RNA". It matches the Rfam family "Bacterial small subunit ribosomal RNA", at positions 338 to 795 of the family's 1533-position model. The record is from RNAcentral.
CCUACGGGUGGCAGCAGUAGGGAAUCUUCCACAAUGGGCGAAAGCCUGAUGGAGCAACGCCGCGUGGGUGAAGAAGGUCUUCGGAUCGUAAAACCCUGUUGUUAGAGAAGAAAGUGCGUGAGAGUAACUGUUCACGUUUCGACGGUAUCUAACCAGAAAGCCACGGCUAACUACGUGCCAGCAGCCGCGGUAAUACGUAGGUGGCAAGCGUUAUCCGGAUUUAUUGGGCGUAAAGGGAACGCAGGCGGUCUUUUAAGUCUGAUGGGAAAGCCUUCGGCUUAACCGGAGUAGUGCAUUGGAAAAUGGGAGACUUGGGGGCAGAAGGGGAGAGUGGAAAUCCAUGUGUAGCGGGGAAAUGCGUAGGUAUAUGGAAGAACACCAGUGGCGAAAGCGGCUCUCUGGUCUGUAACUGACGCUGAGGUUCGAAAGCGUGGGUAGCAAACAGGAUUAGAUACCCCGUGUAGUC